This 523-nucleotide ribosomal RNA is filed under the name uncultured bacterium. RNAcentral's name for it is "bacterial SSU rRNA". It matches the Rfam family "Bacterial small subunit ribosomal RNA", at positions 8 to 518 of the family's 1533-position model. The record is from RNAcentral.
AGAGUUUGAUUAUGGCUCAGGAUGAACGCUGGCGGCAGGCUUAAUACAUGCAAGUCGAACGGUAAGGUCCGAAGUGGCAACACGGAGGAUACACGAGUGGCGCACGGGGUGCGUAACGCGUAUGCAACCUGCCCCCGACCGGGACAAAACAGCUGGAAACGGCUGCUAAUAUCCCAUGGUCAUGCGGAAGGGCAUCCUUCUUCAUGUAAAGAUUCAUUGGUCGGGGAUGGGCAUGCGUAUUAUUAGGUAGUUGGCGGGGUAACGGCCCACCAAGCCGACGAUGAUUAGGGGUCCUGAGAGGGUUAACCCCCACACUGGAACUGAGACACGGUCCAGACUCCUACGGGAGGCAGCAGUAGGGAAUAUUGGGCAAUGGGAGCAAUCCUGACCCAGCCAUGCCCGCGUGAAGGAAGACGGCCCUAUGGGUUGUAAACUUCUUUUGCCGCAGAGUAAACCCGGUCACGAGUGGUCGGUUGAGAGUAUGCGGCGAAUAAGUAUCGGCUAACUCCGUGCCAGCCGCGGC